This 123-nucleotide ribosomal RNA is filed under the name Lepisosteus oculatus (spotted gar). Lineage: Eukaryota; Metazoa; Chordata; Actinopteri; Semionotiformes; Lepisosteidae. The record is from RNAcentral.
GCCAGCAGCCAGAUCACUCUGCAACUCACAACUGGCAACCCACUAAGCUCAGAAGCUCAGCAGGUGUGAGCCUGGUCAGUACCUGGAUGGAGACCUCCUGGGAAAAACAGGUUUCUGCUGGAA